This 380-nucleotide long non-coding RNA is filed under the name Rattus norvegicus (Norway rat). RNAcentral describes it as "long non-coding RNA NONRATT026396". The record is from RNAcentral. Lineage: Eukaryota; Metazoa; Chordata; Mammalia; Rodentia; Muridae.
CGGCCGCGUUCGCACCCCAGGGUCUCACCGGCAAGGGAAGGAUAAUCUGGAGAGGGAGCUCUCAGGAGGGUGUGCUCCGGAUUUCUUGCCUCAGGCCCAGGACUCCAACCAUUUUAUAAUGGAAUCUUUAUUUUGUGAAAGUAGCGGGGACUCAUCUCUCGAGAAGGAGUUCCUUGGGGCCCCAGUGGGGCCCUCGGUGAGCACCCCAAACAGCCAGCACUCUUCACCCAGCCGCUCGCUCAGUGCCAACUCCAUCAAGGUGGAGAUGUACAGCGAUGAGGAGUCGAGCAGACUGCUGGGGCCGGAUGAACGGCUCCUGGAUAAGGAUGACAGUGUGAUUGUGGAGGACUCAUUGUCGGAGCCCUUGGGCUACUGCGACG